GUUGCUGGGAUGCUAAAGGGGCAGGACCGGGGGAGGCAGGGCGUUGCUGGGGGCGUUUCCGUGGCAUUACCGGGGGUGCUGGAGGGGCAGGACCCGGGAGAGGCAGGGGGUUGCUGGUGGGCGUUACCAUGGCGUUGCUGGGGGCACUGUAGGGGCAGGACCCAGGGGAGGCCAGGGGUAGGCCGGUGGUGUUACUGUGGUGCUGCCGGAGGGCAUUACCGUGGCAUUGCCGGGGGGCGUUACCGUGGCGUUGCCAGGGACGCUUUUGGAGCAGGACCCAGGGGAGGCGAGGCGUUGCCAGGGGUCGUUACCGUGGCGUUGCCGGGGGCGCUGUAGGGGCAGGACCCAGGGGAGGCAGGGCGUUGCCAGGGGGCGUUACCAUGGCGUUGCCAGAGGCGCUGUAGGGGCAGGACCCGGGGGAGGCGAGGCGUUGCCGGGGCAUUACCGUGGCGUUGCCAGGGGCGCUGUAGGGGCAGGACCUGG
Molecule: long non-coding RNA, 483 nt
Organism: Gopherus flavomarginatus (Mexican gopher tortoise)
Lineage: Eukaryota; Metazoa; Chordata; Testudines; Testudinidae
Exons: 3
Source: RefSeq, a predicted model, not a curated record